GUUCUCGUAGUGUAGCGGUUAUCACGUGUGCUUAACACGCACAAGGCCCUCGGUUCGACCCCGAGCGAGAACA
Non-coding RNA from Fopius arisanus, 73 nucleotides. Lineage: Eukaryota; Metazoa; Arthropoda; Insecta; Hymenoptera; Braconidae. The record is from the annotation of a RefSeq genome assembly.